RNAcentral lists this ribosomal RNA (497 nucleotides) under uncultured bacterium. RNAcentral describes it as "partial 16S ribosomal RNA". It matches the Rfam family "Bacterial small subunit ribosomal RNA", at positions 28 to 507 of the family's 1533-position model. The record is from RNAcentral.
GACGAACGCUGGCGGCGUGCCUAAUACAUGCAAGUUGAGCGCUGAAGGUUGGUACUUGUACCGACUGGAUGAGCAGCGAACGGGUGAGUAACGCGUGGGGAAUCUGCCUUUGAGCGGGGGACAACAUUUGGAAACGAAUGCUAAUACCGCAUAAAAACUUUAAACACAAGUUUUAAGUUUGAAAGAUGCAAUUGCAUCACUCAAAGAUGAUCCCGCGUUGUAUUAGCUAGUUGGUGAGGUAAUGGCUCACCAAGGCGAUGAUACAUAGCCGACCUGAGAGGGUGAUCGGCCACAGUGGGACUGAGACACGGCCCAAACUCCUACGGGAGGCAGCAGUAGGGAAUCUUCGGCAAUGGACGAAAGUCUGACCGAGCAACGCCGCGUGAGUGAAGAAGGUUUUCGGAUCGUAAAACUCUGUUGGUAGAGAAGAACGUUGGUGAGAGUGGAAAGCUCAUCAAGUGACGGUAACUACCCAGAAAGGGACGGCUAACUACGUG